RNAcentral lists this ribosomal RNA (502 nucleotides) under uncultured bacterium. RNAcentral's name for it is "bacterial SSU rRNA". It matches the Rfam family "Bacterial small subunit ribosomal RNA", at positions 331 to 830 of the family's 1533-position model. The record is from RNAcentral.
CCAGACUCCUACGGGAGGCAGCAGUAGGGAAUAUUGGGCAAUGGACGGAAGUCUGACCCAGCCACGCCGCGUGCAGGAGGAAGGCGCUCUGCGUUGUAAACUGCUUUAGCAGGGGAAGAAAAGACUCAUGCGUGAGGAAUUGACGGUACCCUGAGAAUAAGCACCGGCUAACUACGUGCCAGCAGCCGCGGUAAUACGUAGGGUGCAAGCGUUGUCCGGAUUUAUUGGGUUUAAAGGGUGCGUAGGCGGUCUAUUAAGUCAGUGUUUAAAUUUUGCAGCUUAACUGUAGGUAUGGCAUUGAUACUGGUGGACUUGAAUAUCAUGGAGGUAGCUAGAAUUUAUGGUGUAGCGGUGAAAUGCAUAGAUACCAUAAGGAACACCGAUAGCGGAGGCAGGUUGCCACGUGAUGAUUGACGCUGAGGCACGAAAGCGUGGGGAUCAAACAGGAUUAGAAUACCCUGGUAGUCCACGCUGUAAACGAUGAUUACUAGAUGCUGGCCGG